UAAAGUAGGGAAUCUUCCACAAUGGGCGAAAGCCUGAUGGAGCAACGCCGCGUGUGUGAUGAAGGGUUUCGGCUCGUAAAACACUGUUGUAAGAGAAGAAUGACAUUGAGAGUAACUGUUCAAUGUGUGACGGUAUCUUACCAGAAAGGAACGGCUAAAUACGUG
This 165-nucleotide ribosomal RNA is filed under the name uncultured Weissella sp. RNAcentral's name for it is "partial 16S ribosomal RNA". It matches the Rfam family "Bacterial small subunit ribosomal RNA", at positions 350 to 507 of the family's 1533-position model. The record is from RNAcentral. Lineage: Bacteria; Bacillati; Bacillota; Bacilli; Lactobacillales; Lactobacillaceae.